AUCAAAAGUUACAGGUUUCUUGCUUUCUCUUCCAUCUCUCUCUAAAGCUUCUCUCUUUCUUUCAACUCCCACAUAGCUCUUGAAGUUUUUUCAAGAAAAACUGCAGCUUUAGCUACACUUCAGGUUUUGGAAUUUUUCUUGAGGAAAGUCUCGAUUGCAGUAUCCACCCAUUUGAUCUGGGUUAUCUGUGUCUACUGAGAUGGUGGAGGAAUAAACAAAUUUGGGAUGUGAAGGAUCGCUUAUCGGAGCCCAUGAUAAGGUCUUGCAAUGGGGUCUCUAAACAUGGAGAAGAAAUGGGUUUUCCCUCUAGUGAUAAGCUCUCUGAUAUGUGUGUUCCUUUUAGCAACUUCCUUCAACAUGGGUCUUAUCUCUUCAUUACAUACUAUCAAACAAAUCUUCAACAUUUUUCCAUCUCGAAACCAAUCAAUGGAAGGCUAUGCUGAAAUGAAGGUUUCACAAACUCCUCCCUCUGAGACUCCUGGAAUUCCUCGAUUUGCUUAUUUGAUUUCUGGGUCUAAAGGUGAUUUGGA
RNAcentral lists this unclassified non-coding RNA (530 nucleotides) under Hevea brasiliensis (rubber tree). Lineage: Eukaryota; Viridiplantae; Streptophyta; Magnoliopsida; Malpighiales; Euphorbiaceae. The record is from RNAcentral.